This 417-nucleotide ribosomal RNA is filed under the name uncultured archaeon. RNAcentral's name for it is "partial 16S ribosomal RNA". It matches the Rfam family "Archaeal small subunit ribosomal RNA", at positions 330 to 747 of the family's 1478-position model. The record is from RNAcentral.
GCGCAGCAGUCGCGAAAACUUCGCAAUACGCGCAAGCGUGACGAGGGAACCCCAAGUACUCCUGCUUUUUGCAGGAGUUUUUGCCAAGUGUAGACAGCUUGGAGAAUAAGGGCGGGGUAAGGCCGGUGCCAGCCGCCGCGGUAAUACCGGCCGCCCGAGUAGUGACCACUAUUAUUGGGCCUAAAGCGUCCGUAGCCGGUUUUGUAAGUUUCUGGGUAAAUCCCACAGCUUAACUGCGGGGAUUCCAGAAAUACUGCAGAGCUAGGGGCCGGGAGACGCAGAAGGUACUCCUGGGGUAGGGGUGAAAUCCUAUAAUCCUUGGGGGACCACCGGUGGCGAAGGCGUCCCACUGGAACGGCCCUGACGGUGAGGAACGAAACCUAGGGGAGCGAGCCGGAUUAGAUACCCGGGUAGUCC